This 71-nucleotide transfer RNA is filed under the name Loxodonta africana (African savanna elephant). It matches the Rfam family "tRNA". Rfam says of the family: Transfer RNA (tRNA) molecules are approximately 80 nucleotides in length. Their secondary structure includes four short double-helical elements and three loops (D, anti-codon, and T loops). Lineage: Eukaryota; Metazoa; Chordata; Mammalia; Proboscidea; Elephantidae. The record is from Rfam by way of RNAcentral.
GCAGUGGUGAUUCAGUGGUAGAGUUUUCACCUUCCAGAUGAGAGACCCAGGUUCCACUGCUGGCCAGUGCC